GCUCCCCGUAGCUCAGCGGACAGAGCGCCGGCCUCCGAAGCCGGAAGCCGCAGGUUCGAUUCCUGCCGGGGAGGCACCA
Molecule: transfer RNA, 79 nt
Filed under: Actinomadura sp. KC345
Lineage: Bacteria; Bacillati; Actinomycetota; Actinomycetes; Streptosporangiales; Thermomonosporaceae
Description: tRNA-Arg
Rfam family: tRNA
About the family: Transfer RNA (tRNA) molecules are approximately 80 nucleotides in length. Their secondary structure includes four short double-helical elements and three loops (D, anti-codon, and T loops).
Source: RNAcentral